This 755-nucleotide ribosomal RNA is filed under the name uncultured bacterium. Its description in RNAcentral is "bacterial SSU rRNA". It matches the Rfam family "Bacterial small subunit ribosomal RNA", at positions 28 to 776 of the family's 1533-position model. The record is from RNAcentral.
GACGAACGCUGGCGGCGUGCUUAAUACAUGCAAGUCGAGCGAGGUUACUGUUUUGGAUCCCUUCGGGGUGAAGAAGCUUUAACCUAGCGGCGGACGGGUGAGUAACGCGUGGGUAACCUACCCCAAAGUCCGGGAUAACAGCGGGAAACCGCUGCUAAUACCGGAUGCCUUUACCUUGGGGCAUCUUGAGGUAAAGAAAGGCAACGCUUUGGGAUGGGCCCGCGUCCCAUUAGCUAGUUGGUGAGGUAACGGCUCACCAAGGCGACGAUGGGUAGCCGGCCUGAGAGGGUGGACGGCCACACUGGGACUGAGACACGGCCCAGACUCCUACGGGAGGCAGCAGUAGGGAAUAUUGCGCAAUGGACGGAAGUCUGACGCAGCGACGCCGCGUGAGCGAUGAAGGUCUUCGGAUCGUAAAGCUCUGUCCUUGGGGAAGAAGGCGAAAGCUUGACGGUACCCAAGAAGAAAGCCCCGGCUAACUACGUGCCAGCAGCCGCGGUAAUACGUAGGGGGCGAGCGUUGUCCGGAAUUACUGGGCGUAAAGGGUGCGUAGGCGGCCCUUUAAGUCGGAUGUGAAAGCCCGCGGCUUAACCGCGGAAUGGCAUUCGAAACUGGAGGGCUUGAGUGUCGGAGAGGGUAGUGGAAUUCCCAGUGUAGCGGUGAAAUGCGUAGAUUUUGGGAGGAACACCAGUGGCGAAGGCGACUACCUGGACGAUAACUGACGCUGAGGCACGAAAGCUAGGGGAGCAAACAGG